ACCCUCUUACCAUACCUUUGUUCCAAAAAUCUUUUAUUGGACUCAUCUGCUUGCAGGUAUUCAUUUCGUAAGUCCAUUAAUUUCUCUAGAAAGUGAAAUGGAAAAUUAACUUUUACUAAUGGUUACUAAAAAUAACUUAAAAUGGCACUUUUUUUUCCAACUCGGACCAGACAGAAUGGCUCCCGCAAAGAAGGGUGGCGAGAAGAAAAAGGGCCGUUCUGCCAUCAACAAGGUGGUGAUCCUAGAACACACCAUCAUCAU
This is a long non-coding RNA of Cebus imitator (Panamanian white-faced capuchin), 261 nucleotides long. RefSeq lists it as uncharacterized. The transcript is spliced from 3 exons. The record is from RefSeq and is a predicted model, not a curated record. NCBI's taxonomy places the organism in Eukaryota, Metazoa, Chordata, Mammalia, Primates, Cebidae.